GAAGAGGCUGGAGGUACAACCAAAGAUUUCAUCCUGCUGUCUCAGGGACUCCACUUCAGCUCAUUUAUGUGGAAAUGAGACCUAUGACAAAAACACACAACUAUGCUGUCAGUCAACUGUUAUUGACAAACGUUCACCGAAUCACAGAUGCUGUGACAAAAGGGCGUAUGAUGUGGAAAAGGAGCUGUGUUGUGGUCCGAUUAGUGAUAAGAAGAUCCUAACAAGGAACUCUCCAGAUCACAUGUGCUGUCAUCAGGGCCAGUUCAACAGCAAGACUGAAUGUUGCUGCUGGAAGGAUGAUGGUGCUGAGAUACAACCGAGGAAUUCAUCUUGCUGUAUGCAACAAGAGGUAAGUGUUAUGUUUUCCAAGAAAGGAAGUUAUUAAUGAUUAAACUGAAAAUAACAGACAAGCGCCACUCAAGGGCAAAAAAAGCAAAGAAACACAACAAAACCUAAAAGAUAUUCACAAAAAAAAAGGCUGUUAACCAAAAACAUGCCCUUAUCUUAAUUUUCCAGG
Oreochromis aureus is the source of this 517-nucleotide long non-coding RNA. The record is from Ensembl. Lineage: Eukaryota; Metazoa; Chordata; Actinopteri; Cichliformes; Cichlidae.